RNAcentral lists this long non-coding RNA (643 nucleotides) under Populus trichocarpa (black cottonwood). RNAcentral's name for it is "long non-coding RNA (PTRI_LNC003769)". The record is from RNAcentral. Lineage: Eukaryota; Viridiplantae; Streptophyta; Magnoliopsida; Malpighiales; Salicaceae.
AUUUAUAAGAAAAUUUAUUAUGUUUUUCUGUUGCAAUUUUUUAUUGAUUUUUAAUCUUUGAAUUAUUUUUUUGAACUGUAGUCUCUCUCCACCAGCUGAUUCAUCGCCAUCGAAUACCAACAACCACAGCCCCACCACUCCUCUUCAACUUCUCUCUCUUUCCGAUCUUCUUUUUCGCUUACAUGACUGAGUUGCCUGCUACAAACUUCUUCCUCUUAAACCUCUUUCUCCUUCCGAUCUGACCCGAAACAAUAAGCAAAUACAGGGCUCUUCCUAGCUUUCAAUCUGGGAUCUUACUACCAGAGCUUUGCGAGAAGAAAUAAAUGCACAGAAAACUAUGAGGUUCGAUUUAGGGUUUUGAAAAGGCGAGAGAUUUUGGGAUAAGAGAGAAAUUGAUUCUCCUGUGAGAAGAUUUUUAGUUUGUUUAGGUCGAUUUCUAAUAUAAUAUUGAGUUAUUUUUUGAAUUGUAGUCUCUCUUCAUCACCUGAUCCAACACCAUCGAAGGCCAACAGCCACAACCCCACCAUUACUUUCAAACCUCUUUCUCCUUUCAAUCUUCUUUUUCCCCUCACAUGAUCGAGUAGCCCGCUACAAACUUCUUCCUCUUGAACCUUUCGGCUUUCCCUCAUUCCAAUCUGACCCG